GACGAACGCUGGCGGCGUGCUUAACACAUGCAAGUCGAACGGAAAGGCCCUGCUUUUGUGGGGUGCUCGAGUGGCGAACGGGUGAGUAACACGUGAGUAACCUGCUCUUGACUUUGGGAUAACUUCAGGAAACUGGGGCUAAUACCGGAUAGGAGCUCCUGUUGCAUGGUGGGGGUUGGAACGUUUCGGCGGUUGGGGAUGGACUCGCGGCUUAUCAGCUUGUUGGUGGGGUAGUGGCUUACCAAGGCUUUGACGGGUAGCCGGCCUGAGAGGGUGACCGGCCACAUUGGGACUGAGAUACGGCCCAGACUCCUACGGGAGGCAGCAGUGGGGAGUAUUGCACAAUGGGCGGAAGCCGGAUGCAGCAACGCCGCGGGCGGGAUGACGGCCUGCGGGUUGUAAACCGCUUUCGCCUGUGACGAAGCGUGAGUGACGGUAAUGGGUAAAGAAGCACCGGCUAACUACGUG
This 468-nucleotide ribosomal RNA is filed under the name uncultured bacterium. RNAcentral describes it as "partial 16S ribosomal RNA". It matches the Rfam family "Bacterial small subunit ribosomal RNA", at positions 28 to 507 of the family's 1533-position model. The record is from RNAcentral.